GACCUCAAAUCGGGUGGGACUACCCGCUGAACUUAAGCAUAUCAAUAAGCGGAGGAAAAGAAACUAACAAGGAUUCCCCUAGUAACGGCGAGUGAAGAGGGAAAAGCUCAAAUUUUGAAUCUGGUGUCUUUGACUCCCGAGUUGUAAUCUAGAGAAGUGUUUUCCGUGUCGGACCGUGCACAAGUUCCCUGGAACGGGGCGUCAUAGGGGGUGAGAAUCCCGUAUAUGGCACGGACCGCCGAUGCUCUGUGAUACACUCUCAACGAGUCGAGUUGUUUGGGAAUGCAGCUCAAAAUGGGUGGUAAAUUCCAUCUAAAGCUAAAUAUUGGCGAGAGACCGAUAGCGAACAAGUACCGUGAGGGAAAGAUGAAAAGCACUUUGGAAAGAGAGUGAAACAGUACGUGAAAUUGUUGAAAGGGAAGCGU
Molecule: ribosomal RNA, 425 nt
Filed under: uncultured fungus
Lineage: Eukaryota; Fungi
Description: eukaryotic LSU rRNA
Rfam family: Eukaryotic large subunit ribosomal RNA
Source: RNAcentral